GGAAGUAAAAGUCGUAACAAGGUCUCCGUUGGUGAACCAGCGGAGGGAUCAUUACAGAGUUGCAAAACUCCCUAAACCAUUGUGAACGUUACCUAAACCGUUGCUUCGGCGGGCGGCCCGGGUCCUGCCCGGCGCCCCUCGGCCCUCGCGGGCGCCCGCCGGAGGAAAACCAAACUAUUGCAUUGUAUGGCCUCUCUGAGUCUUCUGUACUGAAUAAGUCAAAACUUUCAACAACGGAUCUCUUGGUUCUGGCAUCGAUGAAGAACGCAGCGAAAUGCGAUAAGUAAUGUGAAUUGCAGAAUUCAGUGAAUCAUCGAAUCUUUGAACGCACAUUGCGCCCGCCAGUAUUCUGGCGGGCAUGCCUGUUCGAGCGUCAUUUCAACCAUCAAGCCCCGGGCUUGUGUUGGGGACCUGCGGCUGCCGCAGGCCCUGAAAUGCAGUGGCGGGCUCGCUGUCACUCCGAGCGUAGUAGUUACAUCUCGCUCUGGGCGUGCUGCGGGUUCCGGCCGUUAAAAGCCUUAUUUACCCAAGGUUGACCUCGGAUCAGGUAGGAAGACCCGCUGAACUUAAGCAUAUCAAUAAGCGGAGGA
This 590-nucleotide ribosomal RNA is filed under the name Chaetomium sp. ATT210. RNAcentral describes it as "eukaryotic LSU rRNA". The stretch from base 223 to 376 matches the Rfam family "5.8S ribosomal RNA". The record is from RNAcentral. Lineage: Eukaryota; Fungi; Ascomycota; Sordariomycetes; Sordariales; Chaetomiaceae. RNAcentral also lists the same sequence under 1 other name.